RNAcentral lists this ribosomal RNA (569 nucleotides) under uncultured bacterium. RNAcentral's name for it is "bacterial SSU rRNA". It matches the Rfam family "Bacterial small subunit ribosomal RNA", at positions 153 to 733 of the family's 1533-position model. The record is from RNAcentral.
GAAACGUGGAUUAAUACCGGAUACCUUCGCGGAAUCGCAUGGUUCUGUGAGGAAAUGCUCCGGCGCUUUGGGAUGGGCUCGCGGCCUAUCAGCUUGUUGGUGAGGUAACGGCUCACCAAGGCACUGACGGGUAGCUGGUCUGAGAGGACGAUCAGCCACACUGGGACUGAGACACGGCCCAGACUCCUACGGGAGGCAGCAGCAGGGAAUAUUGCACAAUGGGCGCAAGCCUGAUGCAGCGACGCCGCGUGAGGGAUGAAGGCUUUCGGGUUGUAAACCUCUUUCAGUGGGGAAGAAGCGCAAGUGACGGCACCCACACAAGAAGGCCCGGCCAACUACGUGCCAGCAGCCGCGGUAAUACGUAGGGGCCAAGCGUUAUCCGGAUUUAUUGGGCGUAAAGAGCUCGUAGGCGGCUUGGUAAGUCGGUCGUGAAAGUCCGAGGCUCAACCUCGGAAUGCCGGUCGAUACUGCCAUGGCUAGGGUUCGGUAGAGGAGAGUGGAAUUCUCGGUGUAGCGGUGAAAUGCGCAGAUAUCGAGAGGAACACCAAUAGCGAAGGCGGCUCUCUGGG